UGCCAGACUCCUACGGGAGGCAGCAGUGGGGAAUAUUGCACAAUGGGGGAAACCCUGAUGCAGCGACGCCGCGUGAGUGAAGAAGUAUUUCGGUAUGUAAAGCUCUCUCAGCAGGGAAGAUAAUGACGGUACCUGACUAAGAAGCCCCGGCUAACUACGUGCCAGCAGCCGCGGUAAUACGUAGGGGGCAAGCGUUAUCCGGAUUUACUGGGUGUAAAGGGAGCGUAGGUGGCAGGGCAGGUCUGAAGUGAAAGGCGGGGGCCCAACCCCCGGACUGCUUUGGAAACUGUAUAGCUGGAGUGCAGGAGAGGUAAGUGGAAUUCCUAGUGUAGCGGUGAAAUGCGUAGAUAUUAGGAGGAACACCAGUGGCGAAGGCGGCUUACUGGACUGUAACUGACGUUGAGGCUCGAAAGCGUGGGGAGCAAACAGGAUUAGAUACCCCAGUA
RNAcentral lists this ribosomal RNA (446 nucleotides) under uncultured bacterium. RNAcentral describes it as "partial 16S ribosomal RNA". It matches the Rfam family "Bacterial small subunit ribosomal RNA", at positions 329 to 792 of the family's 1533-position model. The record is from RNAcentral.